CUCCCUCCCUCUCUCUCUCGUGCAUGAUGACGGAAACAAAAUAACAUUUGCCCUCUUUGAUUGUAAUUAUUAUAACAACUAUGUGAUGGAAUUACCAGCACCUUCCCCCCCAAUUUGAGCAUGAAAAUAUCAAGAUUUUCCAAUCAAAAACCGUAAUUCGUGGUUCACUGAAUCAGUCGAAUACUGCGUGGCACUAAAGUCCUGCUUUCAGAUCACAAGUCAUCUUCGGUACAGUUCGGGUGUUUAUUUUUUAUGGAGACUUUAAUCGACAGCUUGUUUCGAAUCAAUCGAUAAGGUAUGCUCUACUAAAAUCCAUUUCGUUUCCCUGUCAUUGAUGUGAUGCAGUGGUGUGCUGUUUGGAUCUCCUUCUUGCUCUUUUCAACAUACCCGAUCUCAUGAUUCUCAUCUCCAGAUCUCUCAGUUAAUCCGAGAAGAAAACCAAACAUAAAACAUACUCAUUAGCCGACGCUCUUAACCAAAUUAAAGUGAAGUAUCAAGAACACACAGCUACCAUCUUAAACCUUAUCUGAUUAAUCAAUUGGAAUUCUUAGAAAUUUAAAUCAUUGGAGUAUACGUGCCAUGCCGUCAUUUGUAAGUGAAAGUGAUUGUCGUUUGAUACAGGAUUUGCAUUAUUGAAGGCAUCGUUUUUUCUUCUUCCUUUUUUUAUAAAAACAAAAAAAAAACAAAAUACUUGAGGCAUGUGCUUGAAAGGGAGGCGCACAUGGAUUGUCCACCUGGGAUAUGGAAGAGAAAUGGGUUUGAACUACCGAACUCAUGUUUGUCUGGAAGGAGACUGCUCGCAAGAGAUGGAUCCAGUGGUCGGAGGGCCCAUGGCCCGCAAAGUAUUAAAACACUUCCCUCGGUCCCUUUCUUCUAAACUUUCUCAAUUCAAUCCUCACAAUUAAGGCGUUUCGUUUCCGUUUC
This is a long non-coding RNA of Populus euphratica (Euphrates poplar), 924 nucleotides long. RefSeq lists it as uncharacterized. The record is from RefSeq and is a predicted model, not a curated record. The transcript has 2 exons. Lineage: Eukaryota; Viridiplantae; Streptophyta; Magnoliopsida; Malpighiales; Salicaceae.